This is a non-coding RNA of Macaca mulatta (Rhesus monkey), 1824 nucleotides long. NCBI's taxonomy places the organism in Eukaryota, Metazoa, Chordata, Mammalia, Primates, Cercopithecidae. The record is from RefSeq and is a predicted model, not a curated record.
AUGAUUGUGCCAUUGCACUCCAGCCUGGGCAACAGAGCAAGACCCUUCCUCUAAAUAAUGAUAAUAGUAGUUGUCAUAAUUAAUAUACAUCAGAGGUAUGCUAGUCCAAUUAUAAUUUGAAAUAAAAUGAAUUUCUGCUUCCGGAGCACCAGUAUUUCCACAAAGUUGGUUUUAGUGCUUUCAUUGCUCAUGAAAUCAUCUUAGGGAUUUUUGAUGGACAGAUGAAUGGAUAGAUUACUGACAAAGCAUUGAACGUCUGAAAGGUACAUUGGCACUGGACAUGUCAUCCAAUUUUAUUCUGAAGAUAACAGAAAUGAAAGGGUUACUGCCUAGUUUCUUUAAAAAACAAACAAAAAAAAAACUUAAUUAAGAGUAUAAUAGAAAAACAGGACAACUGGGACCUAGUUCGUCUAGCCCUGAAAUUGUCAGAGAAACUGAAAAAAAUGUAACUUCUCUCAUGAAAAGAAGACAAAGAAAUACAUUUAAAUAUAAAAUGUUAAGCUAUACUGAAGCUAUAGUUUCAUGUUUUUCAAUCUAUAAAAUCUAUGAAGUAUUAACUGAAUUUUAAUUAACCUAAUAAUUUGUGGCAAAAUUAUCUGAUUUACCGACUAAAACAAAUAAAUGUACUUCAAAAUUGUAUUAGAUUAGUGAAACUUGAUAAUAUCUCUGUUUUCUACAUUUAUUUUUCACAAAAUGAAAGCAUAAUGCCAACCUGUAGCCAGAGGAAGUGUUUGUAUAUUCUAAAACAAUAUUAGAAAAAUAUAUGAUUGCUGUGAAAUUCAUAAUGCUAAAUGUCAUUAAGAUGAAUAAAAGUAUCAUAAUACAGUACUCUGUCAACAAUAAAGUAAAACUCCAGAAAGCUCUAUGAUGUUAGAUAAAGAGGGCCAUGAUGAAAACAGUACAUAUAAUCCUUUUGUUUUCUUUAUCCAACCGGAAGCUUUUCUGUGGCCACCUUUGGAACAGCGGUAUUAGCACUGCAUAACCAACUCAUAGCGAAUAAUGUUAAACUAACAAAUGCAUUUCAACAGCUUCAUUUAUAGAUAAGAGGGCCUCCAAAGACAGGCAAGCAAAUUGACUAAGCUCUUUAAAAAAUGGUUUAUUGCCCUAGAACACAAUUGGGAAAAACUCAAAUUGCACAUUAUAGAAUUGCGUAUUUUAAAACAUUUCUAUUAGCUGUUAUUUUUGUGUAUUCUUUAGUAUCAAUUUACACGUAUCACAAUAUGUAUAAAUAUAUGUGCUUAUACAUUUGCAUGUAUACAUGUGCAUGUAUAUGGAGUAAUCAGUGAAGUUCACUGCCUUGAAAUACAUACAGAUGGAAACGUACAGAUGUUGGGAAACGAAGACUACUCUCCGCACCUAAUUUUCCUAUAAAGGGCCAACAAUUCCUAGGAGAACAGAUUUAUUUCAUUGGCGAGAUUGAAAAAAGAAAAGGAACAAUUUGUUUCCCAUUUUAAUGUAAUCGUCUACACGGCACAUGCUUUCUCUGCUUCUCCUGAGGAAAGCUUACAGAGUAGGCUCUGUCCCAACUGCAGUUGUGUGUGGCCACCCAGUGUCUCCAUAAUAAAAUAAAUACGAGAGUCUACAAAAUUGAGGCAUUUUCUCCAAUCAAGUACUUCGGACAAUACAGGUUCCCAUAUGCUUUUGCAGAGCCAGCUCUCAUUUGCAGUAACUGUGUGUGUGUAUAUAUAUAUUUAGUAGGCUAUCUUAUAUGCAUAUGUGUGUGUGUACAUAGUUUUAGCAGGCUACCUAACAUGUAGUUAUAGAUAUGUUGUGUUUUACAGUCAAGCUUUUUUUCAAUGAUAAAGAUAAUUUUAUUCCCAAGUA